Molecule: ribosomal RNA, 638 nt
Filed under: Lotharella vacuolata
Lineage: Eukaryota; Cercozoa; Chlorarachniophyceae
Description: eukaryotic LSU rRNA
Rfam family: Eukaryotic small subunit ribosomal RNA (bases 1-175)
Source: RNAcentral
UGAUUUCGUCCUGCCCUUUGUACACACCGCCCGUCGCUCCUGCCAAUGGGUGGGGUGGUAAGAAGGUGGAAUGGACCAUGUAUAUAGAGUCUCUGAUCUCCUUCGAGCUAUCCUAUCUAGAGGAAGGAGAAGUCGUAACAAGGUUUCCGUAGGUGAACCUGCGGAAGGAUCACCGAAACACAUCGAUCACUGUCUCCACACUCUGUUGUGGUAGUCUCUGCCUUUUCUUCAUAUCCAUAAUUUUACGCAUGGUGGACGGAAUCCAUCAAUUUUGUAUAACAAAGCCUUACUGACGGAUGUCUAGGCUCUUGCAUCGAUGAAGAACGCAGCAGCAAGCGAUAUACGAUGAUCGAAGCGCUCUCGUGAAUCAUCGAAUCUUCGAACGCAUCUUGUGCUCAUGUAAUAACCCGCAAAGGGUUGAGCAUGCUUGGUGCAGUGACGACACAUGCGUAUGGCUGUUUGGUGCUUUUGUUUGCCGAACAGUACUCCGUCUUCGCAUAUACCAUCAUUACUAUAUGUUCAGACACGACACCUACUUUACCAACCCCAGCUUCUUUGUGUGGUUGCCAUCGAAUGCACUUUCGAUUUUGCAUACGUCCUGCUCUACAGUAAGAACACCCGCCGAACUUAAGCAUAUC